RNAcentral lists this ribosomal RNA (448 nucleotides) under uncultured bacterium. Its description in RNAcentral is "bacterial SSU rRNA". It matches the Rfam family "Bacterial small subunit ribosomal RNA", at positions 330 to 793 of the family's 1533-position model. The record is from RNAcentral.
UCCAGACUCCUACGGGAGGCAGCAGUGGGGGAUAUUGCACAAUGGGGGGAACCCUGAUGCAGCGACGCCGCGUGGGUGAAGGAGCGUUUCGGCGCGUAAAGCCCUCUCGGCAGGGAAGAAGGAGGACGGUACCUGACUAAGAAGCCCCGGCUAACUACGUGCCAGCAGCCGCGGUAAUACGUAGGGGGCAAGCGUUAUCCGGAUUUACUGGGUGUAAAGGGGGCGCAGACGGCAGCGCAAGCCAGGAGUGAAAGCCCGGGGCCCAACCCCGGGACUGCUCUUGGAACUGCGCGGCUGGAGUGCAGGAGGGGCAGGCGGAAUUCCUGGUGUAGCGGUGAAAUGCGUAGAUAUCAGGAGGAACACCGGUGGCGAAGGCGGCCUGCUGGACUGCGACUGACGUUGAGGCCCGAAAGCGUGGGGAGCAAACAGGAUUAGAUACCCUAGUAAG